Long non-coding RNA from Triticum dicoccoides, 2945 nucleotides. RefSeq lists it as uncharacterized. The transcript has 5 exons. The record is from RefSeq and is a predicted model, not a curated record. Lineage: Eukaryota; Viridiplantae; Streptophyta; Magnoliopsida; Poales; Poaceae.
UCCACCGCUGGAAGCGCAAAUAAAAAGGCUCCCGCAUGUGCCCAAAUGCCCAGUACUAGCCAGCGGAUCGCAAGCGAGCUCCUCCACCCCAGACGCGGCCACCUCCUUUUUCCACCGGCACCGGGACGGCGCGGCAGCCCCCUUUUUCCUCUGGCACUGGGACGACGCGGCCGCCGCCUAUGCUGCUCCAUCCCACCGCAACGUCGUCGCUGGCCCUAGCCACGACUUCGUCGACGCAACGACCGGAUCGGCGGAUCCAGCCCGUAUGGUGCGGCGGCGGCGGCUGAAUCCAUGACGGCGACGACGUCCAGCGGUUCCCGCCGGCCCAAGCAGGUCCAUCUUCUCCUCCAACCCCUCUCAUGGGCUCCUCGCUGUCGCCUCGAUGGCUGGGGCCCCUCCGCAACCGCCGGCCACCGACAGCAGCCCCAGGGCCGAUGGUGACUUCCAGGCUGCGGCAUUGCUCAACACCGGCGACCUCGACGCCUAGCCCCAGCAAGCAUCUCUCUCUCUCUCUCUCUCCCCCCGUUCUUCUUUUAUGUUGUGCCAGUACGUACCACGGUGGCCAUCCAUUGUCCAGGCCCGUCUAUGCAUUGCAGAUUUUUGUGUAUGUGACUAUAAGGUGUUUGAUGAAAAAACAAGCAAGGUAGGAAAAGAUUUAUUUCUGUUUAUGCUCUUUUGUGUAAUCAAUAUUUCUUUUUCUUCUGCUGGGUGGUUGGGGGUUUGUUUUGGGAUGUUUCAUUGAAUUUGAAAAGACUUUUCAUGCUUACUUGGAGGCACCAAGGUCAACUAAUUCUGAUCCUAGCAUAAGUAUACUCAAAGGGAGUAUUAAUUAGGCACAGUCUGUUUAGAACAUUGCACUGUGUUUUUUGCUUUGCUAAUACUGAUGUGUAAGUCAAGAAUGUGCGAGUAUGUGGACCUUUCUCUUUUGAAUAAAGAGAUGUGUAAACAACAAACUGAUGCAUAAACGUACAAAUUUUGUUCACUAGAUACACUGCAUGUUCAACACAGAUGAUCAUCCUUGAUAUGACAAGGUCAACUAUUUUCCUAAUAAUUAGUGGUUAUUUCCUAUGAGGGAGCCUUUCUACAUCUCACAUAGCAGAUCUUCUUUGCAAUUCUCUUGCUCUCUCAUAAGAAGCUAUACUUGCAAGGGCCUCAAAGAAAAAAGUCUGUAUUCAACAGACAGUAUUGAAGCAUCAUUUUCGAAUAUAAAUUGGUUUUGUUUAUACUCUGGAGAUAUUACCUCUCUCAACUCUUAUCAUAUGGCAGAGACUGAAUGAUCCUAACGGCAAGAUGUCGACAUAGUAUCUAGGUCUCAGUAUACACACUAAAAAAGAGCAGUUGUUUCCCACUCAUCUUUUCAACAACCGUAAGUAUUUUCCAACUUUUUGAGUGACAUAGAAUUCUAUGUUAUGUUUGAUUCCUUGCAACCAACAAGAAGGAGUGGCUAACACUCUAUUGUUUGUUCUAUAUUUUCAUACUUGUUUUUCCUUCGGCUACCUCACACUAGAAAGGGGGAGAAGUGGGUAGCUAGCUUUUUUCAUACUUGCUUUUCCUUCGGCUACCUCACACUAGAAAGGGGGAGAAGUGGGUAGCUAGCUUUUUUCAAGUCCAGCAGAAUUUAUCAUUGAUCUAUGCAUGAUUAAACACUAAUUGCGGCAUUCAUUGUGUACUACUACAGUCUUAUUGUUGAGAUGGUUCUCUUACAUUGGUUGAACAAGCUGUGUAUUAUUGAGUAAUGCUGAAUGGAACUAUCUAUUUCUUUUGCCGAUGGUGGAGGAAUUACUGAUCUCAAGUUGUCUGCAAGCUUCAUGGACUGCUCUGAGUUGAGUGCCAACUGCUAAGGAAAUGCCAACUAUGUUUGGAUCACGUGUUUGUAGUUAUCCAGGACAAGGAAAGAACAGAAAAUCUCACACAUCAAUCAAUUAUAGCAGCCUCACAUAUCAUACCAAAAUUUGGCCUGAGUAUUUAUUUAUCUUCCUUUCUUUCCCAUGUUGUGUGUCAUUUACUUUCCUUUGGAAGUAAUGGGGUCAUUUCCUUUUCUGCUGCCUUGUCGUUGAACUACACGAGGACACAGGUCUUUUCUUUGAAAGAUGAAAUGAAAGUGACAUGCUUACCGUUCCAAUCAGGACAAUUAAGGAAGUCAAGGAGCACGGGGCUCUUGCACUGGGGGCACCGAGGGUCGUCCUGGGGGAGCAUGACGUAGAUGAAGCAGCGAGGGCAGGCGGCGAGCACCAUGGACGUCGCUUCGGGGCUGUUGGACCACUGCAGGCCAUGCUCGUUCUCCGACGACAGGCACGAGCUCGGGGACGACUCCUCGUCAGCCAUCACCCUGUUGGAGGAGUCCCCUCUUGCGGGCAGCGAGAGGUUCAGCUUCAGGUCAAGGCCCUUUGAUGAGCUCUUCCUGUUGCUGCGGCUCAUCCUCAGAGAUGGAAGCAGUAAUGGAUGGUUUUGGGAUCCAGAGCCAGUGCUAUCGGCCUCGGGAUCAAAGAUCAAUUCAGCUUAUCGAAGCGUAUAAUAUUUCGCCAUCAUUCGCCAUGAUUCAUCACCGAUGUGUUUAAGAUUGGAGCUAAAGAGGCUAAGAGUUGAAGGCAACUCUGGCUCAACUACGGAGACAGGGGAGGUGGAGGCAGGGGAGGUUUGACCUCAAGCCGAGCUCAUAACUGUGGCACUAGGUUACUUAGUACAGGAUAUGGUUUAAAAUGUUUCUUGCACGUACAAAACUGUGAUUAGUCGGCAUUGGAGCCAAACGCAUGUGCUCUUCUUUAAUUUCAUGGAGGGAUCUAAGGAGCUUAAUUAGUACCGGAAAGUAAAAGAAAGCUCCUGAUUGAAUGAUGUCACAUGUUCGUCGUUAUUGUGGUUUUGUAUGUGGCACUUUUUGUGUGUGUGUGGAUUCAUAUAAUUUUGUACUAUGGUAUUAGUAUAAUGUCAAAAAUAUUUUUAUAUUA